AUUGAACGCUGGCGGCAGGCCUAACACAUGCAAGUCGAGCGGAUGAAGGGAGCUUGCUCCUGGCUUCAGCGGCGGACGGGUGAGUAAUUCCUAGGAAUCUGCCUGGUCGUGGGGGCUAACGUCCGGAAACGGGCGCUAAUACCGCAUACGUCCUGAGGGAGAACGUCGGGGAUCUUCGGACCUCACGCUAUCAGAUGAGCCUAGGUCGGAUUAGCUAGUUGGUGGGGUAAAGGCCUACCAAGGCGACGAUCCGUAACUGGUCUGAGAGGAUGAUCAGUCACACUGGAACUGAGACACGGUCCAGACUCCUACGGGAGGCAGCAGUGGGGAAUAUUGGACAAUGGGCGAAAGCCUGAUCCAGCCAUGCCGCGUGUGUGAAGAAGGUCUUCGGAUUGUAAAGCACUUUAAGUUGGGAGGAAGGGCAGUAAGUUAAUACCUUGCUGUUUUGACGUUACCAACAGAAUAAGCACCGGCUAACUUCGUG
This 484-nucleotide ribosomal RNA is filed under the name uncultured bacterium. Its description in RNAcentral is "partial 16S ribosomal RNA". It matches the Rfam family "Bacterial small subunit ribosomal RNA", at positions 30 to 507 of the family's 1533-position model. The record is from RNAcentral.